This is a long non-coding RNA of Populus euphratica (Euphrates poplar), 982 nucleotides long. RefSeq lists it as uncharacterized. Lineage: Eukaryota; Viridiplantae; Streptophyta; Magnoliopsida; Malpighiales; Salicaceae. The record is from RefSeq and is a predicted model, not a curated record. The transcript has 2 exons.
GGAUUUAUGGCAUUAUACAUAGGAGGCAGUUUUCUCAUAUGGUAACAAAAUCCCACCCCUUUUUCCUUACUAUAUAUCUUUCUAUAUUCUAUAUAUAUAAGCCUUCUACGUUCACCUCUUUAGUUUGAAUAUGUCCAUCUCUCUCUCUCUCUCUCUCUCUCUCCAUAUAUGUGUGUGAUUGUGUGCCUUGUGUUUCACCAGAUUAACUCGUUCUCUUUGCAAGAAGAUCAAUAAAGGAUUUGUGUCACUCAUCAAUGGAAGCAAGAAACGGAUUCGAAAGGGAAGGGAGAUGCAUAAAAGAAGAAGGUCUAAGAGAACUCACAUGUAUACUGCUUGCAAAUUAAAUGGUAAAUUUAUUUCUUAAAAAAUAAAUAAAUAAUGUUUGGUUACUCUUUUGAGGGAGUAGAGAUGCAUGGAGAUAAUUGGGAUAAAAUCAUGUCUUUAAUUCACUAAUUAAACAUAACUUAUUUAAUUCUUAUCAUGAUGAAUAAUUUCGUGCUUGAUAAGUUUAUUUCUUGUAGUUGUUUUGCUUUUUAAAUAUGGUGUUAAUUGCUUAGACAACACUAAAUUAUUUUACUAUAUAUAUAUAUAUAACCCACAUUGAACAAGCUCUUUUGAUAUAAGGGUUUUUGUUUUUUGUCUUGAUUUGGAUCUAAUUGGAAGAGCAUGCAUGUACUCGCAGUGUUUAUCUUUAUCAGGUUUCAGCAUGAUCAUCACAAUUAAUAGAGGAAUAUUGAUGGUGUGGCCUCUCCCUUCUUGCAAGGAAUAUAUUUCUCCCAUGAACUUUAAUUUGAUGAUUCGAUUCCCACUUAGCUACCAAUCUAUGCAGCAGAAAAGCUUAAGGGCCAUACUCUGAUCAAGAACUACUUUCUCAAAGCUCGGAGAGAGCAUCAUUGCAAUUUGCUAAUGUUUUUAUUCCUCCAUUGUGGUUUACAGUAGUGUUACUUUUUUUCCUCAACUACGGAAGAACAUUAAUAUUUGU